This 578-nucleotide ribosomal RNA is filed under the name Diaporthe longicolla. Its description in RNAcentral is "eukaryotic LSU rRNA". It matches the Rfam family "Eukaryotic large subunit ribosomal RNA", at positions 69 to 669 of the family's 3401-position model. The record is from RNAcentral. Lineage: Eukaryota; Fungi; Ascomycota; Sordariomycetes; Diaporthales; Diaporthaceae.
GGGGGAAWUKGCCCCUAGUAACGGCGAGUGAAGCGGCAACAGCUCAAAUUUGAAAUCUGGCUUCGGCCCGAGUUGUAAUUUGCAGAGGAUGCUUCUGGCGCGGUGCCUUCCGAGUUCCCUGGAACGGGACGCCACAGAGGGUGAGAGCCCCGUAUGGUCGGACACCAAGCCUGUGUGAAGCUCCUUCGACGAGUCGAGUAGUUUGGGAAUGCUGCUCUAAAUGGGAGGUAAAUCUCUUCUAAAGCUAAAUACCGGCCAGAGACCGAUAGCGCACAAGUAGAGUGAUCGAAAGAUGAAAAGCACCUUGAAAAGGGGGUUAAAUAGUACGUGAAAUUGUUGAAAGGGAAGCACUUAUGACCAGACUUGGGCCGGGCGGCUCAUCAGGGGUUCUCCCCUGUGCACUCCGCCCGGCACAGGCCAGCAUCGGUUUUCGCGGGGGGAUAAGACCGUCGGGAACGUAGCACCCUCCGGGGUGUGUUAUAGCCCGGCGGACGAUACCCUCGCGGGGACCGAGGUUCGCGCUCCGCAAGGAUGCUGGCGUAAUGGUCAUCAGUGACCCGUCUUGAAACACGGACMCA